UUGAACGCUGGCGGUAUACUUAACACAUGCAAGUCGAACGGAAACGAUACUAGCUUGCUAGUAGGCGUCGAGUGGCGGACGGGUGAGUAACGCGUAGGAAUCUGCCUGAUAGUGGGGGAUAGCCCGAAGAAAUUCGGAUUAAUACCGCAUAAUCUAUUCGUAGUAAAGUGGGGGACUUUCGAGCCUCACGCUAUCAGAUGAGCCUGCGUAAGAUUAGCUUGUUGGUGGGGUAAAAGCCCACCAAGGCGACGAUCUUUAGCUGGUCUGAGAGGAUGAUCAGCCACAUCGGGACUGAGACACGGCCCGAACUCCUACGGGAGGCAGCAGUGGGGAAUAUUGGACAAUGGGGGCAACCCUGAUCCAGCAAUACCGCGUGUGUGAAGAAGGCCUGAGGGUUGUAAAGCACUUUCAAUUGUGAAGAAAAGUUAGCGGUUAAUAACCGUUAGCCUUGACGUUAACUUUAGAAGAAGCACCGGCUAACUCCGUGCCAGCAGCCGCGGUAAUACGGAGGGUGCAAGCGUUAAUCGGAAUUACUGGGCGUAAAGCGUGCGUAGGCGGUUUAUUAAGUCAGAUGUGAAAGCCCCGGGCUUAACCUGGGAACUGCAUUUGAAACUGGUCAAACUAGAGUAUGGUAGAGGAAAGUGGAAUUUCUGGUGUAGCGGUGAAAUGCGUAGAUAUCAGAAAGGAACAUCAAUGGCGAAAGGCAGCUUUCUGGACCAAUACUGACGCUGAGGUACGAAAGCGUGGGUAGCAAACAGGAUUAGAUACCCUGGUAGUCCACGCCGUAAACGAUGAUAACUAGCCGUUGGGGGGAUUUACCCUUUAGUGGCGAAGCUAACGCGUUAAGUUAUCCGCCUGGGGAGUACGGCCGCAAGGUUAAAACUCAAAGGAAUUGACGGGGACCCGCACAAGCGGUGGAGCAUGUGGUUUAAUUCGAUGCAACGCGAAGAACCUUACCUGGUCUUGACAUCCUGCGAACUUUCUAGAAAUAGAUUGGUGCCUUCGGGAACGCAGUGACAGGUGCUGCAUGGCUGUCGUCAGCUCGUGUCGUGAGAUGUUGGGUUAAGUCCCGUAACGAGCGCAACCCCUAUCCUUAUUUGCCAGCACAUUAUGGUGGGAACUAUAAGGAGACUGCCGGUGAUAAACCGGAGGAAGGCGGGGACGACGUCAAGUCAUCAUGGCCCUUACGACCAGGGCUACACACGUGCUACAAUGGGAAGGACAAAGAGCCGCGAAGCCGCGAGGUGUAGCUAAUCUCAUAAACCUUUUCGUAGUCCGGAUUGGAGUCUGCAACUCGACUCCAUGAAGUCGGAAUCGCUAGUAAUCGUAGAUCAGAAUGCUACGGUGAAUACGUUCCCGGGUCUUGUACUCACCGCC
RNAcentral lists this ribosomal RNA (1377 nucleotides) under uncultured bacterium. Its description in RNAcentral is "bacterial SSU rRNA". It matches the Rfam family "Bacterial small subunit ribosomal RNA", at positions 29 to 1394 of the family's 1533-position model. The record is from RNAcentral.